RNAcentral lists this ribosomal RNA (460 nucleotides) under uncultured bacterium. RNAcentral's name for it is "partial 16S ribosomal RNA". It matches the Rfam family "Bacterial small subunit ribosomal RNA", at positions 29 to 523 of the family's 1533-position model. The record is from RNAcentral.
AGCGAACGCUGGCGGCAAGCCUCAUACAUGCAAGUCGAACGCGAAAGUGUAGCAAUACAUGAGUAAAGUGGCAAACGGGUGCGUAACACGUGGGAAUCUACCCUUUGGUUCGGAAUAGCUCCGGGAAACUGGAAUUAAUACCGGAUAAGGUCUACGGACGAAAGAUUUAUCGCCGAAGGAUGAGCCCGCGCCGGAUUAGCUAGUUGGUAAGGUAAAAGCUUACCAAGGCAACAAUCCGUAGCUGGUCUGAGAGGAUGAUCAGCCACACUGGGACUGAGAUACGGCCCAGACUCCUACGGGAGGCAGCAGUAGGGAAUAUUGGACAAUGGACGCAAGUCUGAUCCAGCUAUGCCGCGUGAGUGAAGAAGGCCUUCGGGUUGUAAAGCUCUUUGAGUAGAGAAAAUAAUGAUGGUAUCUACAGAACAAGCCCCGGCUAACUUCGUGCCAGCCGCCGCCGUAA